CAUGCAAGUCGAGCGGACAGAUGGGAGCUUGCUCCCUGAUGUUAGCGGCGGACGGGUGAGUAACACGUGGGUAACCUGCCUGUAAGACUGGGAUAACUCCGGGAAACCGGGGCUAAUACCGGAUGGUUGUUUGAACCGCAUGGUUCAGACAUAAAAGGUGGCUUCGGCUACCACUUACAGAUGGACCCGCGGCGCAUUAGCUAGUUGGUGAGGUAACGGCUCACCAAGGCAACGAUGCGUAGCCGACCUGAGAGGGUGAUCGGCCACACUGGGACUGAGACACGGCCCAGACUCCUACGGGAGGCAGCAGUAGGGAAUCUUCCGCAAUGGACGAAAGUCUGACGGAGCAACGCCGCGUGAGUGAUGAAGGUUUUCGGAUCGUAAAGCUCUGUUGUUAGGGAAGAACAAGUGCCGUUCAAAUAGGGCGGCACCUUGACGGUACCUAACCAGAAAGCCACGGCUAACUACGUGCCAGCAGCCGCGGUAAUGCA
Molecule: ribosomal RNA, 491 nt
Filed under: Saccharomonospora saliphila
Lineage: Bacteria; Bacillati; Actinomycetota; Actinomycetes; Pseudonocardiales; Pseudonocardiaceae
Description: bacterial SSU rRNA
Rfam family: Bacterial small subunit ribosomal RNA
Source: RNAcentral